AGAUGGAAGAAAAAUACAACGCCAGCCUUUUGGCGGCCGGAAUGCAUUGUGAAGCCCAACAGUUAAUUGCUGAGGGAGUCGGUUUAGUGUUGCAAUCGUACAAGUUGGACUCAUACGUUCAACGUCUCGCGGAAUGCCUUUUCCAUUUUCAUGAGAAAGUUGAUGACUUGUUGGCUAUCGAAGAGCAAAUUGAUGUCGAUGUUCGCUCGCUGGAGACUUGCGCUUAUUCUGCCAACACGUUUGCUGACAUCUUGUCCAAGAUCCAGAAGAUGACCUGAGUCUUCGUCAGUAUUCGAAUUUGCAACAAUGGGUCACUAAACUAGACGAAGAAUUAGAAAAGCGUUUGGCUUCCGGUGGUGGAAUUGGUGGAAUUCAGGCCUGGACCCCUGCUCUUGAGGGUCGCAAAGAAGUCGACGUCGACUACACCAUGGACACCGAUGCAGUGGAACUUGGCGGCCAGCCCCAGAUCCGCACAAUUAUUCAUGAAAUUUGCGUUACUAACCAGACGAUGUAUCUGCAUCCGCCACUGCCUGAAGCUCGUACCAAGAUCUAUGAUCUGAUGUUUGAUUGGCAAGCCAUUGUCACGUCUUUGACUCGUAUCCAGAGUACCGGUUAUCAAGUUGCGCUAGAUCGGCCUACUCCACAAACCUAUCGAAAUCUACUCACAAACAUGCCAGAUGGCCCGGAAGUCCUGGCUGCCGCGAGUGCCGCCUGUACUGCCAUUGAGGGAAGAAUGAAGGAGGUGAAAGUCUACGUCGACGACUCUUAAGGAGGAUCAAUCUCUCUGGCUAUGAAAACACCCACAGAUGGCUGCGGAGAGAAAGAACGUGGCGUCGGGACUGAAAUUUUCAGGUCAACAUGUUUACGACCUUCCAAGAUGCUGAGGCUCCUGAACAUCAAUCCCGUGUGCAAAUUUGGAUUCAAGAGUAUGAGAAGAAUCGUCAGGUUUUCGUCUUCAGAACUCCAACUGUGGGUACUUUCUACUUUCUCCACCUUGUUACUAGUGCUUGGAUUGCUGUCUCUUUUGAUCCAGAUUGCCUCGUCUUCAUUGCGCUAUAGGUUCGUGCUUAGUCUCCUCGGCUCUGGUAUCUGGAUCGCCGAGCCACACCGCGGAACAGUCGAGUUCCGGGAGAAGAUUCCGUUGCAGCUCAUGCCCGUAGGCCAGUUAUAACAAGAGCCAAUACGUUUACCACCGGCAGUUCCAUCGGCCGCGGGGAUGCACCUUACAAGUGUUUGCAAUGCUCCUACAACGUCAGCCGGAGGCAUUUGCUGAAUCAAAACCUCAGCGUCCACGGCCUGCCGCCCGUCGGCCUCCUGGACGGUGAUAACUACGCGUCCAAUUCGGAUGCCAUCGGGUCGGAAGCCGAAGCCGAAGCCGAAGCCGAAGCCGCCGAGGCCAUUAAAAUGGCGGACGACGAAGUGAUGGUGGCCGCUGCUGGAGAUCAUUCGCCCACGCCCAUCUCGGCCUGUUCGCUGUUCGCCUUCCUCGGCCGUCGCGGCCGCAUCCAGCAGCAGAAGGCUACACCCACCUGGGCCAGGAUCCCAACACGAUCGCCCGUCUGCCGGACUCUGCCACGGUUUCGCUGCUGGACAUUCCGCUGACGUGGGUGUCGCGGUGGACGAAAUUUUACAAAAUGUUCAAGUGCCGCCACUGCCCGCACGUCAACGUCCGCUAGAGCAACAUCCAGGAGCACGAGAAGAGACACCAGACGAAGCUGGGCAGCGCUGCCGGCGACAACAUGCACGCCUGCUCCAUGUGCAAUUACCGGUGCAACAACGCCGGCGUCUUGUCGGCCCACGUCAAAGUCCACCAGAACGUGCUGGGCAUCAUCCACGCCCUGGCCGAUCCUUCGAGAUCCGACGAGGAGCAGUUGCGCCAAGUGGCCGGAAGAAUCUUGUUCGUCGCUUUCGUCGUCCGGAAGUGCCUCCCCUCAACCGAAAUUGGAUUUGCUGCUGGGUCGGGCCGGCGAAGACGCCAAAGGUGGCGGCGGGAAAAAAGUUGCACUUUUGCGCUCACUGCCCGGCCGGCUUCCUGGUCGAGACGGAGCUCCUGAUUCACACACACACAACGCUUUCACGGAGUCAAACUGGCCUUCCGCUGUGACGUCUGCUCUUACACGGCCCGCCAAGAGAACCACCUGCUGGCCCAUUGGAUGGUCCACAGUCGCGAAUAUCAAGAAAGAACCAAGGUGCUGGUGGAACAUCACGGCGCGUCUGAACAGCAUCCGCAGCCUCGCAUUUUGGCCGUCCAACCCAACAGCAGUGCGGACGAGGAGGAAGGGGCGAUAGAUUUGACCCGCCGGAAGGAAUCGGAGGUGAAACCCAGUCAAACUGCCAUCACUGCCGAAAAGACUUGGGCCAAUUGCCCGCUGUGUCCGGCUCGAUUCGAUCCGGACAGCAAAGCGCUGAAGUACCACAUCUCUCUGCACGGUGGCAACGGCCCGUUCCGCUGCCGCUUCUGCAUCUACGCCGUCAAGGCCCAGGACAAUUUGAC
This 2494-nucleotide long non-coding RNA is filed under the name Daphnia pulicaria. Its description in RNAcentral is "uncharacterized LOC124321249, transcript variant X1". Lineage: Eukaryota; Metazoa; Arthropoda; Branchiopoda; Diplostraca; Daphniidae. The record is from RNAcentral.